Non-coding RNA from Pteropus alecto (black flying fox), 119 nucleotides. Lineage: Eukaryota; Metazoa; Chordata; Mammalia; Chiroptera; Pteropodidae. The record is from Rfam.
GUCUACGGCUACACCACCCUAAACAAGCCUGAUCCCAUCUGAUCUUGGAAGCUAAGCAGGGUUGGGCCUGGUUAGUACUUGGAUGGGAGACCACCUAAGAAGACCAGGUGCUAUAGGCG